RNAcentral lists this ribosomal RNA (292 nucleotides) under uncultured Limnohabitans sp. RNAcentral's name for it is "partial 16S ribosomal RNA". It matches the Rfam family "Bacterial small subunit ribosomal RNA", at positions 1 to 303 of the family's 1533-position model. The record is from RNAcentral. Lineage: Bacteria; Pseudomonadati; Pseudomonadota; Betaproteobacteria; Burkholderiales; Comamonadaceae.
CAUGGAGUUUGAUCCUGGCUCAGAUUGAAUGCUGGCGGAAUGCUCUACACAUGCAAGUCGAACGGUAGAGGGGGCAACCCCUCGAGAGUGGCGAACGGGUGAGUAAUAUAUCGGAACGUGCCCAGUCGUGGGGGAUAACGUAGCGAAAAUUACGCUAAUACCGCAUACGAUCUAAGGAUGAAAGCGGGGGAUCGCAAGACCUCGCGCGAUUGGAGCGGCCGAUAUCAGAUUAGGUAGUUGGUGAGGUAAAGGCUCACCAAGCCAACGAUCUGUAGCUGGUCUGAGAGGACGA